This 334-nucleotide unclassified non-coding RNA is filed under the name soil metagenome. Its description in RNAcentral is "partial contains 5.8S ribosomal RNA, internal transcribed spacer 2, and large subunit ribosomal RNA". The stretch from base 1 to 120 matches the Rfam family "5.8S ribosomal RNA", at positions 35 to 154 of the family's 154-position model. The record is from RNAcentral.
GAUGAAGAACGUAGCGAAAUGCGAUAAGUAGUGUGAAUUGCAGAAUUCAGUGAAUCAUCGAAUCUUUGAACGCACAUUGCGCCCCUUGGUAUUCCAUGGGGCAUGCCUGUUCGAGCGUCAUUUGUACCUUCAAGCUUUGCUUGGUGUUGGGUGUUUGUCCAUUCUCUUGCAGAGGGACUCGCCUUAAAGUAAUUGUCAGCCAGUGUUUUGGUUUUGAAGCGCAGCACAAGUCGCGAUUCAAAGCUAUACGCCCGCUUCCACAAGCCUUCUUCACUUUUGACCUCGGAUCAGGUAGGGAUACCCGCUGAACUUAAGCAUAUCAAUAAGCGGAGGA